AACGAACGCUGGCGGCAUGCCUAACACAUGCAAGUCGAACGAUACCUUCGGGUCUAGUGGCGCACGGGUGGGUAACGCGUGGGAACCUGCCCUUAGGUUCGGAAUAACUCCCCGUAAGGGGUGCUAAUACCGGAUAAUGUCUUCGGACCAAGGAUUUAUCGCCUUUGUCUGGGCCCGCGUUGGAUUAGCUAGUUGGUAGGGUAAAAGCCUGCCAAGGCGACGAUCCAUAGCUGGUCGGAGAGGAGGCACAGCCAAACUGGGACUGGGACACGGCCCAGACUCCUAGGGGAGGAAGGGGGGGGGAAUAUUGGACAGUGGCCGAAAGCCUGAUCGAGCAAUGCGGGGUGAGAAAUUAAGGCCUUAGGGUUGUAAGGCUCUUUUGCCCGGGAUGAUAAUGACAGUACCGGGAGAAUAAGCUCCGGCUAACUCCGUG
This 433-nucleotide ribosomal RNA is filed under the name uncultured bacterium. RNAcentral describes it as "partial 16S ribosomal RNA". It matches the Rfam family "Bacterial small subunit ribosomal RNA", at positions 29 to 507 of the family's 1533-position model. The record is from RNAcentral.